This is a non-coding RNA of Populus trichocarpa (black cottonwood), 151 nucleotides long. NCBI's taxonomy places the organism in Eukaryota, Viridiplantae, Streptophyta, Magnoliopsida, Malpighiales, Salicaceae. The record is from Rfam.
UCUAGAACUCAAGAUAUGGGCUGAACACUUAAUAGUAUCUAGGCUGCAGGACAAAUUCUGACUUCUCUUUUGUUGCUACAAUUUGAACUUGAAAACGGUCGUUUGAAUCUUGAACUCUAGUUAUGAUCCAAUAACCGAAUGAUGUUCCAGU